Molecule: ribosomal RNA, 650 nt
Filed under: uncultured bacterium
Lineage: Bacteria
Description: bacterial SSU rRNA
Rfam family: Bacterial small subunit ribosomal RNA
Source: RNAcentral
UGCAGUCGAGCGGACAGAAGGGAGCUUGCUCCCGGAUGUUAGCGGCGGCACGGGUGAGUAACACGUGGGUAACCUGCCUGUAAGACUGGGAUAACUCCGGGAAACCGGAGCUAAUACCGGAUAGUUCCUUGAACCGCAUGGUUCAAGGAUGAAAGACGGUUUCGGCUGUCACUUACAGAUGGACCCGCGGCGCAUUAGCUAGUUGGUGGGGUAAUGGCUCACCAAGGCGACGAUGCGUAGCCGACCUGAGAGGGUGAUCGGCCACACUGGGACUGAGACACGGCCCAGACUCAUACGGGAGGCAGCAGUAGGGAAUCUUCCGCAAUGGACGAAAGUCUGACGGAGCAACGCCGCGUGAGUGAUGAAGGUUUUCGGAUCGUAAAGCUCUGUUGUUAGGGAAGAACAAGUGCGAGAGUAACUGCUCGCACCUUGACGGUACCUAACCAGAAAGCCACGGCUAACUACGUGCCAGCAGCCGCGGUAAUACGUAGGUGGCAAGCGUUGUCCGGAAUUAUUGGGCGUAAAGGGCUCGCAGGCGGUUUCUUAAGUCUGAUGUGAAAGCCCCCGGCUCAACCGGGGAGGGUCAUUGGAAACUGGGAAACUUGAGUGCAGAAGAGGAGAGUGGAAUUCCACGUGUAGCGGUGAAAUGC